CCGAUGGCCUAGUGGUUAGAGCGUCCGCCUCAGAUGCGGGAGGUCGUGGGUUCGAACCCUGAUUGAUGGU
Non-coding RNA from Potamilus streckersoni, 70 nucleotides. The record is from the annotation of a GenBank genome assembly. Lineage: Eukaryota; Metazoa; Mollusca; Bivalvia; Unionida; Unionidae.